GAUGAAGAACGUAGCGAAAUGCGAUAAGUAAUGUGAAUUGCAGAAUUCAGUGAAUCAUCGAAUCUUUGAACGCACCUUGCGCCCUUUGGCCAUUCCGAAGGGCAUGCCUGUUUGAGUAUCAUGAACACCUCAACUCUUUAUGGUUUUCCAUGAUGAGCUUGGACUUUGGGGGUUUUGCUGGCCUAUGGUCGGCUCCUCUAAAAUAAAUCAGCUUACCGGUGUUUGGUGGGUAUCAUGGGUGUGAUAACUAUCUACGCUUGUGGUUUUUCCACCAGGUAACCUUCGACAGCGGAGGUUCACUGGAGCUCAUAGAUGUCUCUCCUCAGCGAGGACAGCCCUUUGAAUGUUUGAUCUCCAAUCAGGUAGGACUACCCGCUGAACUUAAGCAUAUCAAUAAGCGGAGGA
This 405-nucleotide unclassified non-coding RNA is filed under the name soil metagenome. Its description in RNAcentral is "partial contains 5.8S ribosomal RNA, internal transcribed spacer 2, and large subunit ribosomal RNA". The stretch from base 1 to 121 matches the Rfam family "5.8S ribosomal RNA", at positions 35 to 154 of the family's 154-position model. The record is from RNAcentral.